This 407-nucleotide ribosomal RNA is filed under the name uncultured bacterium. RNAcentral's name for it is "bacterial SSU rRNA". It matches the Rfam family "Bacterial small subunit ribosomal RNA", at positions 30 to 437 of the family's 1533-position model. The record is from RNAcentral.
AUUGAACGCUGGCGGCAUGCCCUACACAUGCAAGUCGAACGGCAGCACGGGAGCAAUCCUGGUGGCGAGUGGCGAACGGGUGAGUAAUGUAUCGGAACGUGCCUUGUCGUGGGGGAUAACGUAGCGAAAGCUACGCUAAUACCGCAUACCAUCCAAGGAUGAAAGCGGGGGAUCGCAAGACCUCGCGCGACAAGAGUGGCCGAUAUCAGAUUAGGUUGUUGGUGGGGUAAAGGCCUACCAAGCCGACGAUCUGUAGCUGGUCUGAGAGGACGACCAGCCACACUGGGACUGAGACACGGUCCCGACUCCUACGGGGGGCAGCAGUGAGGAAUAUUGGGCAAUGGGCGGAAGCCUGACCCAGCAACGCCGCGUGGAGGAUGAAGGCCUUCGGGUCGUAAACUCCUUUG